GCCCUAGUAGCUCAGAGGAUAGAGCGCCUACCUGAAACGUAGUUCGAGGUCGCGGGUUCGAAUCCCGCCUAGGCU
Molecule: transfer RNA, 75 nt
Filed under: Arthrobacter sp. Rue61a
Lineage: Bacteria; Bacillati; Actinomycetota; Actinomycetes; Micrococcales; Micrococcaceae
Description: tRNA-Phe (GAA) (tRNA-Phe-GAA-2-1)
Rfam family: tRNA
About the family: Transfer RNA (tRNA) molecules are approximately 80 nucleotides in length.
Source: RNAcentral